UUGACUGCGUUGAAAGGGACAGUACAGCAUUCUAUAUGCUUUUAAGAUUAAGCGAUCCAGGGACGGUGGGAGCCUGGAAUAAGCAGAUUGCUGGAAGAUCACCCUAGAGUACCUGCCUGAACGUUCUCCGAACCAGUAAGGUGCAGGCGUUUCAUCCGCGUUAAGGAUGCUUUGAGCGGGCAGAAUGAUUCUUUUCUGUCUACAAGGGUGGUACCGCGGGAGCUAUAAGCCUUCUCGUCCCUUUA
This 245-nucleotide non-coding RNA is filed under the name Bacillus infantis. RNAcentral's name for it is "T-box sequence". It matches the Rfam family "T-box leader". Rfam says of the family: Uncharged tRNA acts as the effector for transcription antitermination of genes in the T-box leader family. The record is from RNAcentral. Lineage: Bacteria; Bacillati; Bacillota; Bacilli; Caryophanales; Bacillaceae.